AGUGAACGCUGGCGGUAGGCCUAACACAUGCAAGUCGAACGGCAGCACAGUAAGAGCUUGCUCUUACGGGUGGCGAGUGGCGGACGGGUGAGGAAUACAUCGGAAUCUACUUUUUCGUGGGGGAUAACGUAGGGAAACUUACGCUAAUACCUCAUACGACCUACGGGUGAAAUCAGGGGAUCUUCGGACCUUGCGCGAUUGAUUUAGCCGAGUUCGGAUUAGCUAGUUUGGGGGGUAAAGGCCCACCAAGGCGACGAUCCGUAGCCUGUCUGAGAGGAUGGUCCGCCAAACCGGAACCGAGACACGGUCCAGACCCCGACGGGAGGCAGGAGUGGGGAAUCUUCCGCAAGUGGGCAAAGCCCGACUGCACAACACCGCGGGAGGUAAAAAGGUCUUUCGAUUUUAAAACCCUUUUUUUAGGGAAAAAAAAAGGGGUAGUUAACUAUCCGCGUCUUGACCGUACCCAAAAAGAAAGCCACCGGUAACUUUGUG
Molecule: ribosomal RNA, 492 nt
Filed under: uncultured bacterium
Lineage: Bacteria
Description: partial 16S ribosomal RNA
Rfam family: Bacterial small subunit ribosomal RNA
Source: RNAcentral